CCAACUAUAAUUAAGCACUGCUACUUCCACCUUGAUUUCCAUGAGCCCAGUAAGGUUUAGCAGGGGUGCGUCGUAAUGCCCUCACUCCCAAUGGGUUGUCCUUGCUCUGUUGCAGAAAAUUCAAGAAAGCACAUAAGAAAAAUAAAAAAAUAAUCAAAAAGAGAAAACCAGGACUGCUAAAUUUAAACUUGAAAGCUCAAAAGAAAAACAUCAAACGAUUUCUUAAUAGAAUCAUGCAAUGCAACCAAAUAGCUUGAAUUUAAAACAUGAAUAUCGAAAUAUUUGCCCAUUGGUCUUUGGCACACUGCUGCAAAGCCUAGAGCAGCCAAGCGUACCAACAAAAUUUAGCAUAUCUUACCAUCAAGCAGGUCCCAGCACGAACAUUACAGAUGGGAUAGUCAUGUGGGCAGCAGCUAUAGUGGUCAUCACAGCAGGUGGCAGCCUCAAGCGGGCAGCAUCCCCAUGCAAAGCAAGAGUUACCAUACUCAAAGACACAGCAGCAAGUGUUGCUCUCAGGGCAAGAGUAAUAAUUGUCACACACAGCAGGAGGCUUUGUUGGAGAUGGAGGGGACGGUCCAGGGUUGGGAGGAUUUUGGCCUUUCUUUAUGGGAUAUGAGGCCUCCAUGGCAAUUCCACACUUGCCCGUGAGAGUGCCAGCCACGUUACGCUCCAUCCUAAUAUAGCCAGCCUCUCCCCAGCUACUGCCCCAUGAAUUCUUCACAAUCCAGUAAUCAGCUCCAUUUUCUGUGCCAUAUCCAACAGCAGUAACACCAUGGUCCAGAGAUGUCCCACAUCUUCCCGUAAAUAUACCCUGAAAAUUUGCAAAGACAGAAAAAUAUACUUGAGACUUCCUUAAAACAGAUCAGACACACACAAGACUCUUCCUGAUCCUGUUUAGAAACCAUUAGAAAUACAAUAAUUUUUGUUCAAAUACCAUCCAGUAUUGUCUCAACCAUAUCUUUUCAGAACUGCAAAAUGCAAAUACUUUGUAUCUAGAUAAUAGCAACAUUCCUAAAUCUAAAAUGUGACAAGUGCCAUGAAGAGAUGAAAGUUAC
RNAcentral lists this long non-coding RNA (1055 nucleotides) under Citrus maxima (pomelo). RNAcentral's name for it is "long non-coding RNA (CMAX_LNC001609)". Lineage: Eukaryota; Viridiplantae; Streptophyta; Magnoliopsida; Sapindales; Rutaceae. The record is from RNAcentral.